GUCUACAGCCAUGCCACCCUGAACGAGCCCGAUCUUGUCUGAUCUUAAAAGCUAAGCACGGUCGGGCCUAGUUAGUACUUGGAUGGGAGACCACCUAGGAAUACAAGGUGCUGUAGGCA
RNAcentral lists this ribosomal RNA (119 nucleotides) under Pteropus alecto (black flying fox). RNAcentral also lists the same sequence under 1 other name. The record is from RNAcentral. Lineage: Eukaryota; Metazoa; Chordata; Mammalia; Chiroptera; Pteropodidae.